This 446-nucleotide ribosomal RNA is filed under the name uncultured bacterium. RNAcentral's name for it is "partial 16S ribosomal RNA". It matches the Rfam family "Bacterial small subunit ribosomal RNA", at positions 338 to 795 of the family's 1533-position model. The record is from RNAcentral.
CCUACGGGUGACUGCAGUCGAGAAUCAUUCACAAUGGGGGAAACCCUGAUGGUGUGACGCCGCGUGGGGGAAUGAAGGUCUUCGGAUUGUAAACCCCUGUCAUGUGGGAGCAAAUUAAAAAGAUAGUACCACAAGAGGAAGAGACGGCUAACUCUGUGCCAGCAGCCGCGGUAAUAAAGAGGUCUCAAGCGUUGUUCGGAAUCACUGGGCGUAAGGCGUGCGUAGGCUGUUUCGUAAGUCGUGUGUGAAAGGCGCGGGCUCAACCCGCGGACGGCACAUGAUACUGCGAGACUAGAGUAAUGGAGGGGGAACCGGAAUUCUCGGUGUAGCAGUGAAAUGCGUAGAUAUCGAGAGGAACACUCGUGGCGAAGGCGGGUUCCUGGACAUUAACUGACGCUGAGGCACGAAGGCCAGGGGAGCGAAAGGGAUUAGAUACCCCAGUAGUC